CAUUCCAAAACAAACAUUUAUGAACUGUGCUAGAGUUUCAGGGAAAUAGAAGAAAUAAUAUAAAUUAAACAUAAUCCAAAAGAAACACAAAAAAUUGAAAAGGGAGAAAAUGCCCACUCAUCAGAUCCAAUUAACAAUAGCUAUGAUUAUGAUACCAAAAGUGUGAAAAUAUAUAGAAGAGAACAAAGCAAAUUUACAACCAUACCUUCCUCUCGCCUCUGAGGAAUGUUCAGUUACAGCUGCUUGCUUUCAACUAGCAAAUCAGCAGUAUACUUUAGAUCUUCAGAACUGCUUCCAACGCCAGCAUGCAUGUCUACUAUAGCUUCCUCUUCCCCCAGAGUAAAGGACAGUUUCAGCAGCUUCUCUUUUACUAGAUAAUUGGUAGUAACAUCUAAACCUUUGGAACUACUUUCGAACUCUGAAGAGCAACUAGUUUUCCUCUUCCUUCGAUUUACCACCACACAAAUUUACCUGUGCAAUAAUAAGAUUUGCAGAAAGCAUUGUCAGUUGUUGAUGAUCCAUCUCUAAAUAUGAUUAAUAAUCAGCCAAAGCAUAUCAGUGAUGUAUAUCAAAAUUCAUAAAUUUCAGAUAAAAGGGGAUAUAGAAGUGAGAAAAAUCUGGCAAAAGAGGGGAAAUUUAAAUGUUAGGGGUUAUUUUAUAAGAAUUAAAAAUAAUUGUAAAAAUGUCAAAUUUUCAAAACAAAAAGGGGAAAAUGCCCUCCAUAAACUACACCUAGAUCCUCCACUAAACUAUAUAACAAGGAAUCGCUUUCGAUGGAUAAUUUUUUACAACUGAAAGAGCUUUUUAUGGCUUAAUCCAUCUGAAAAGUAUGUAUCGCAGACCAUCACGACGAUUAUGAAGCUCAAGUUAAAAUCAGAAGCUCGUUAACUGAUUGGACAUAAUGCAACCUAAAAGUUGUAAUGGAAAAAAAUACUCAUUCGCUUGAAAAUAUAAAAGCAUUUUCUUUUGGUGUCCACGCUGUUGUUUUUCUGGUUUCUUUUGAGAAUAUAAAUGGAACUGAGAAGAAGAAUUAAGGAGUUCAUGUUUUUUUGGUUUUUCAUUUAUGGUGCACAUAGAAGUUGCUUGUCCAAUCUUGGCAACGAUUUUCUAUGUUCUUUCUGCAAUAUAUAUGUUUCUUUUAUAGAAAUUAAAUGCGGGGAUUUAAAGUCCAAGACAUUUCUUAAACACUGAGCAACAGAAAUUUCCAUGGCUAUAUGAGAAUUUGAAGACUUGAUUUAUGAAGCUGACUCAUUGUGCCUAAUAGUUACAACAAAAUUGACACUAUACCAUUACAUAAAGAAUAUGAAUUAUCCUCUUAAAAAUAAAUUAAACUCUAAAAAUUACCAUAUUUUAGUCUUUAUACUUGUAUUUAUCUUCCUAGAACAGUGUUAUAUACACUUAAGUUGUGCACAUGAUGUCAAUAUGUUUAUGUUUCAAAGCAAGUUUUAAAAAUGUAUUAAAAGUUAAGUCCUAUUAGUUAUAACUCAUAAAAAUUUGUAAUUUUCGUGUAUCACUAACAGAUGCAUAUAUAUACACAAGUUAGGCAUUACUUUUUGGCUGAGCAUAUUCAAGUAGAAGUAAUUUAAUGUUUGUAAUCAAAUAACUUUUUUAGUUGUGUUCGUGGCUGACAACCGUGCUGCUUAAUAUUACAAAAACAAGUGAAGUAGGCUCAUGCAAACAUCUUCUUUUGGUGUAUCAUAUUAAGUACAAGGCAAGACGUUUCUGUUGCUGAAGACUGACCAAUAAAGCUAGCAGCCAAGGGUAUUAUUUUCCUUUUACCUAAACAAAAAGAAUCAUAACAGAUCUCUUACAAAAUUUUGACCUUAUUAUACCAUUAAUCAAUCAAUCAAGAUUCUGUCAAAAGGACCCGGUUCACAAUUAAUUACUAACCCAUAAAGUUUUAACCUUUACUCAAUCAAAAACAGUUCUAUUGGGAGAACCCAGUUGAAAAUUCAUUACUAAUCCAUAAAGUUUGAACCUUUAGUCAAUCAGUUAAUCUUCAUUUGAGAUAACCCAAUUGAAAAUUAACCCACAAAGUUCUAACCUUAUAGUCAAUCAAUUAAAUUCUAUUGACAGAACCCAGUUGAAAAUUCACCACUAACCAUAAAGUUUUAACCUUUACUCAAUCAAUUAAAUAUUUAUACCAAACCAAAUUGAAUUUCUAUCACUAUGACAUAAAAGUUUAACAUGAUCUACCUAAUAUAACAAUAGUAGUUUAUAAUAGUAAUUGCUAAAGACCCUGCAGAAUCAUAAAUACAAAAGAUUAUAAGGGUUUGGCAAAUAUUAUACAAAAAGAAGCCAAUGCAGCAAGAUUCACAUACAAAAAGUACAAAAACCCUAAACCCUUAUACCCAGAAUAUAUAUAUAUAUAUAUAUAUAUAUAUAUAUAUAUAUAUAUAUAUAUAUUACAUACCUCUUUGAUAUGAGUGUGAAUAAAAAAAAAUUGUUGUCGUGGAUUGUUCUUCUUCUAUCUUCAUUCAACUCUUCUAAUAUCAAUAUGGUCUAAUGGAUUGACUGCUCUGGUGGGAUGAAGAGGGAGGACACUAUUGGGCUCCCGCCAAAAGUCGGUGGGGGUGCUUUACAUAACACAUCAAAGAA
RNAcentral lists this long non-coding RNA (2598 nucleotides) under Panax ginseng (ginseng). RNAcentral describes it as "long non-coding RNA (PGIN_LNC004139)". The record is from RNAcentral. Lineage: Eukaryota; Viridiplantae; Streptophyta; Magnoliopsida; Apiales; Araliaceae.